This 23-nucleotide microRNA is filed under the name Panagrellus redivivus. Its description in RNAcentral is "prd-miR-87-5p". Its record names the gene prd-miR-87-5p. The record is from miRBase by way of RNAcentral. Lineage: Eukaryota; Metazoa; Nematoda; Chromadorea; Rhabditida; Panagrolaimidae.
GGCCUGGGACUUGGACUCAACCU